UGAUGUUUGAAUCAUCUACAGCAAACAUAAUUAUGUUUAAAUUUAACAAAUAACAAUUUAUGAUUAGUGCACGAACUGUGAGAAUGAUCUAAAUAACCAGUGAAGGAUAUCCCUGCUUCUGCAUAGUGUCGCAUUCCAACAAUGACGUCAUUAUAAAAUAUAAUGUAGGUUGGAUAUAUUUAGAAUAUCUCGUCAUACUGAUUUUUCCAGAUUGUAAAAGAAACGUAAAUAGUAUAAAAGAGAGCUCAAAAUACGAUAAUUUCGCUAGAAACAGAAGGGAAAUGUGUAGAAAAGUGUUUAAAGUCAAUCUAUUCAUUUGUGUGUUUCCUUCUCAUCAAUCUCAGUAAGAUUUGUUGGGG
Molecule: long non-coding RNA, 359 nt
Filed under: Mytilus galloprovincialis (Mediterranean mussel)
Lineage: Eukaryota; Metazoa; Mollusca; Bivalvia; Mytilida; Mytilidae
Source: RNAcentral